This 254-nucleotide ribosomal RNA is filed under the name uncultured bacterium. RNAcentral describes it as "partial 16S ribosomal RNA". It matches the Rfam family "Bacterial small subunit ribosomal RNA", at positions 524 to 776 of the family's 1533-position model. The record is from RNAcentral.
UACGUAGGGUGCAAGCGUUGUCCGGAAUUAUUGGGCGUAAAGAGCUCGUAGGCGGUUUGUCGCGUCUGCUGUGAAAACCCGAGGCUCAACCUCGGGCCUGCAGUGGGUACGGGCAGACUAGAGUGCGGUAGGGGAGAUUGGAAUUCCGGGUGGAGUGGUGAAAUGCGUAGAGAUCCGGAGGAACACCAAAGGCGAAGGCAGUGUCCUGGGGAGUACCUGACGCUCGAGGUGCGAAAGCCAGGGGAGCGAACGGG